UUAGAUAUAUAGUUAUUUAUUAUUGAAUAAUAUUAAAUACUAUUUUGGCAGAAAAGUGUAAUAAAUUUAGAAUUUAUAAAUGUGAUUUAUCACAAAUAGUAUUGUAUUUAUUUGAAAUUAUUUUGUUUAUUAUUAGAAGAUUAUUAUUGAUUA
This 153-nucleotide ribosomal RNA is filed under the name Glossina pallidipes. Its description in RNAcentral is "partial 16S ribosomal RNA". The record is from RNAcentral. Lineage: Eukaryota; Metazoa; Arthropoda; Insecta; Diptera; Glossinidae.